This 253-nucleotide ribosomal RNA is filed under the name uncultured bacterium. RNAcentral describes it as "partial 16S ribosomal RNA". It matches the Rfam family "Bacterial small subunit ribosomal RNA", at positions 524 to 776 of the family's 1533-position model. The record is from RNAcentral.
UACAGAGGUCUCAAGCGUUGUUCGGAUUCAUUGGGCGUAAAGGGUGCGUGGGUGGCGCCGUAAGUCGGGUGUGAAAUUUCGGAGCUUAACUCCGAAACUGCAUUCGAUACUGCGGUGCUUGAGGACUGGAGAGGAGACUGGAAUUCAUGGUGUAGCAGUGAAAUGCGUAGAGAUCAUGAGGAAGACCAGUGGCGAAGGCGGGUCUCUGGACAGUUCCUGACACUGAGGCACGAAGGCCAGGGGAGCAAACGGG